GUGUCUCCACACCUGCACCCUCUGGUGACUAACUUUGCGGUGACCUCAAGUCAUAUCCGCACCAUGCUCCUCACGGCCUUCAUCUUUUCCGGGAAUUUGUUUCCACCCUGGUGAUCCUACUAGCCCAUCCAUACCUGGCAUGUCUAGCCCUUCGAUCCUUUGCCUCUGGUAGACAACUAUCUUCCCUCCUGGACUUCUGCCUUUUAAGCACAACGUAGUUAGGUAGGCAUCCCUCGAUGUGGCAUCUUUACCAACCAUGCCCUCAUG
Molecule: long non-coding RNA, 267 nt
Filed under: Capsicum annuum
Lineage: Eukaryota; Viridiplantae; Streptophyta; Magnoliopsida; Solanales; Solanaceae
Description: long non-coding RNA (CANN_LNC017763)
Source: RNAcentral